Molecule: ribosomal RNA, 643 nt
Filed under: uncultured bacterium
Lineage: Bacteria
Description: bacterial SSU rRNA
Rfam family: Bacterial small subunit ribosomal RNA
Source: RNAcentral
CCAGGUGUAGCGGUGAAAUGCGUAGAGAUCUGGAGGAAUACCGGUGGCGAAGGCGGCCCCCUGGACAAAGACUGACGCUCAGGUGCGAAAGCGUGGGGGAGCAAACAGGAUUAGAUACCCUGGUAGUCCACGCUGUAAACGAUGUCGACUUGGAGGUUGUGCCCUUGAGGCGUGGCUUCCGGAGCUAACGCGUUAAGUCGACCGCCUGGGGAGUACGGCCGCAAGGUUAAAACUCAAAUGAAUUGACGGGGGCCCGCACAAGCGGUGGAGCAUGUGGUUUAAUUCGAUGCAACGCGAAGAACCUUACCUACUCUUGACAUCCACGGAACUUGCCAGAGAUAGCUUGGUGCCUUCGGGAACCGUGAGACAGGUGCUGCAUGGCUGUCGUCAGCUCGUGUUGUGAAAUGUUGGGUUAAGUCCCGCAACGAGCGCAACCCUUAUCCUUUGUUGCCAGCGGUCCGGCCGGGAACUCAAAGGAGACUGCCAGUGAUAAACUGGAGGAAGGUGGGGAUGACGUCAAGUCAUCAUGGCCCUUACGGGUAGGGCUUCACACGUCAUACAAUGGUACAUACAGAGGGCCGCCAACCCGCGAGGGGGAGCUAAUCCCAGAAAGUGUAUCGUAGUCCGGAUCGCAGUCUGCAAC